GUCCUUGUCGAUUAGUGGUUAGAUCAUCACGUUGUGGCCGUGAAGACGGAAGCUCGAAUCCUCCCUGGGACA
RNAcentral lists this transfer RNA (72 nucleotides) under Ganoderma lucidum G.260125-1. Its description in RNAcentral is "tRNA-His (GTG) (tRNA-His-GTG-4-1)". It matches the Rfam family "tRNA". Rfam says of the family: Transfer RNA (tRNA) molecules are approximately 80 nucleotides in length. Lineage: Eukaryota; Fungi; Basidiomycota; Agaricomycetes; Polyporales; Polyporaceae. The record is from RNAcentral.